RNAcentral lists this ribosomal RNA (253 nucleotides) under uncultured bacterium. RNAcentral describes it as "partial 16S ribosomal RNA". It matches the Rfam family "Bacterial small subunit ribosomal RNA", at positions 524 to 776 of the family's 1533-position model. The record is from RNAcentral.
UACGUAGGGUCCGAGCGUUGUCCGGAAUUAUUGGGCGUAAAGGGCUCGUAGGCGGUUUGUCGCGUCGGGAGUGAAAACACCGGGCUUAACUCGGUGCUUGCUUUCGAUACGGGCAGACUGGAGGUAUGCAGGGGAGAACGGAAUUCCUGGUGUAGCGGUGAAAUGCGCAGAUAUCAGGAGGAACACCGGUGGCGAAGGCGGUUCUCUGGGCCGAUACUGACGCUGAGGAGCGAAAGCGUGGGGAGCGAACAGG